UCCUCCACCCUGCUGCCCCCGACUCCCGGGGCCCUGGAGGGGACAGCACUGCCCGCCUCCCAGCCUUCCUUGCUGCUGCUCCUGCUGCUGCUGCCCGCUGCCCUCCUGCUGCUGCUGGCCACUGCCUGGUACCUACGCUGGCAGAGGCUGGCAAGGGCACUGCCCCACCCUGCGGAGCAGCUGCCCCCUGCCCCCCGCCCUCAGGAUACACUGCUGCAGGAGCGAUGACCUGGCCACAGCCUCAUCUUGGCAAAGGCACUGGGGCCCAGCAAGAGGAGAAACCUGCCAGAGGACACACUGCCAGGACACAAAGGAAGCUGGCUGCAGGCUGGUCUUUUCCCUGGCUGGGCUGCCCACACUGCCCGUCCCCCCAACAUGGACAAAAUGUCCCAACCCAGCCCUCACCCUCCUUCCCCACCUCUGUACAAAGCCCUUGUCUCAAUGAACUUGUAUAUAAAUCAUUAUUUUCUA
Dipodomys ordii (Ord's kangaroo rat) is the source of this 471-nucleotide long non-coding RNA. RefSeq lists it as uncharacterized. The transcript is spliced from 3 exons. NCBI's taxonomy places the organism in Eukaryota, Metazoa, Chordata, Mammalia, Rodentia, Heteromyidae. The record is from RefSeq and is a predicted model, not a curated record.